This 379-nucleotide unclassified non-coding RNA is filed under the name fungal sp. RNAcentral describes it as "partial internal transcribed spacer region". The stretch from base 1 to 46 matches the Rfam family "Eukaryotic small subunit ribosomal RNA", at positions 1786 to 1831 of the family's 1831-position model. The record is from RNAcentral. Lineage: Eukaryota; Fungi.
AAGUCGUAACAAGGUAACCGUAGGUGAACCUGCGGUUGGAUCAUUAAAAAAAAUUUAAAAUAAGGUGGAAUUUUAAAUUUUUCUUGUUAAGAAAUUUUUAAAAUUCUACUUUAUUAACAUUUUUGUGCACUGUAAUUGAUUAUCUAGUGGGGGAAAUCUUAUAAAUAGGCUACAAAAAAAAAUUCUUUAAGGGUUUUUUUAGGCUGGAGUUUUGUUUUAUUUUAGGCUUAGCCCUUCAGGGUAAAAACUUAAAAUAAAGUAUCACUUUACCCACUAGAAAAUUUUUUAACUUUUAAUAUUUUUAUAUUUUGCCUUUAGAUUAAUUAAUAAAAGUUUUAACUUAAAAAAAUAACUUUUGACAACGGAUCUCUAGGCUCUC